GGACGCAAGUCUGACGGAGCAACGCCGCGUGAGUGAUGAAGGUUUUCGGAUCGUAAAGCUCUGUUGCCAGGGAAGAACGCUUGGGAGAGUAACUGCUCUCAAGGUGACGGUACCUGAGAAGAAAGCCCCGGCUAACUACGUGCCAGCAGCCGCGGUAAUACGUAGGUGGCAAGCGUUGUCCGGAAUUAUUGGGCGUAAAGCGCGCGCAGGUGGGAUAAUCAGUCUGAUGUUAAAGUUCGGGGCUUAACCCCGUGAAGCAUUGGAUACUGUUAUUCUUGAGUGCAGGAGAGGAAAGUGGAAUUCCUAGUGUAGCGGUGAAAUGCGUAGAUAUUAGGAGGAACACCAGUGGCGAAGGCGACUUUCUGGACUGUGUCUGACACUGAGGCGCGAAAGCCAGGGUAGUGAACGGGAUUAGAUACCCCGGUAAUCCUGGCCGUAAACGAUGGGUACUAGGUGUUGGGGGUAUCGACCCCUCCAGUGCCGGAGUUAACGCAAUAAGUACCCCGCCUGGGGAGUAC
Molecule: ribosomal RNA, 518 nt
Filed under: uncultured bacterium
Lineage: Bacteria
Description: bacterial SSU rRNA
Rfam family: Bacterial small subunit ribosomal RNA
Source: RNAcentral